AUAUCCAAUAGCUGAGGAAAAGAAACCAACAGGGAUUGCCUCAGUAACGGCGAGUGAAGCGGCAACAGCUCAAAUUUGAAAUCUGGCCUCUUGGGGUCCGAGUUGUAAUUUGUAGAGGAUGUUUCGGGUACCGCCUCGGUUUAAAUUUCUUGGAACAGAAUGUCAAAGAGGGUGAGAAUCCCGUCUUGGACCGGCGGUAGGGCCUAUGUGAAACUCCUUCGACGAGUCGAGUUGUUUGGGAAUGCAGCUCAAAAUGGGUGGUAAAUUUCAUCUAAAGCUAAAUAUUGGCCAGAGACCGAUAGCGCACAAGUAGAGUGAUCGAAAGAUGAAAAGCACUUUGAAAAGAGAGUUAAACAGUAUGUGAAAUUGUUGAAAGGGAAGCGCUUGCAACCAGACUUGAGCGCGGCGGUUCCCCCUUGCUUCUGCUUGGGUUACUCCGCCGUGUCCAGGCCAACAUCGGUUCUGGGGGUCGGUCAAAGGCUCUGGGAAUGUAUCUACCCACGGGUAGACUUAUAGACCAGGGUGUCAUGCGACCUCCCGGGACCGAGGAACGCGCUUCGGCUCGGAUGUUGGCGUAAUGGUUGUCAGCGACCCGUCUUG
RNAcentral lists this ribosomal RNA (600 nucleotides) under Fonsecaea nubica. Its description in RNAcentral is "partial large subunit ribosomal RNA". It matches the Rfam family "Eukaryotic large subunit ribosomal RNA", at positions 40 to 656 of the family's 3401-position model. The record is from RNAcentral. Lineage: Eukaryota; Fungi; Ascomycota; Eurotiomycetes; Chaetothyriales; Herpotrichiellaceae.